CACGUAGGGGCAAGCGUUGUCCGGAUUUAUUGGGCGUAAAGAGCUCGUAGGUGGUUUGUCGCGUCGUCUGUGAAAUUCCGGGGCUUAACCUCGGGCGUGCAGGCGAUACGGGCAAUACUUGAGUGCUGUAGGGGAGACUGGAAUUCCUGGUGUAGCGGUGAAAUGCGCAGAUAUCAGGAGGAACACCAAUGGCGAAGGCAGGUCUCUGGGCAGUAACUGACGCUGAGGAGCGAAAGCAUGGGUAGCGAACAGGAUUAGAUA
Molecule: ribosomal RNA, 261 nt
Filed under: uncultured prokaryote
Description: partial 16S ribosomal RNA
Rfam family: Bacterial small subunit ribosomal RNA
Source: RNAcentral